Molecule: unclassified non-coding RNA, 329 nt
Filed under: soil metagenome
Description: partial contains 5.8S ribosomal RNA, internal transcribed spacer 2, and large subunit ribosomal RNA
Rfam family: 5.8S ribosomal RNA (bases 1-120)
Source: RNAcentral
GAUGAAGAACGCAGUGAAAUGCGAUAAGUAAUGUGAAUUGCAGAAUUCAGUGAAUCAUCGAAUCUUUGAACGCAGAUUGCGCCCCCUGGUAUUCCGGGGGGCAUGCCUGUUCGAGCGUCAUUACAACCCUCAAGCUCUGCUUGGUAUUGGGCCCCGCCAGUUCUGGCGGGCCCUAAAGUCAGUGGCGGUGCCUUCCGGCUCCGAGCGUAGUAAUUCUUCUCGCUCUGGAGACCCGGUUGUGUGCUUGCCAACAACCCCCAAUUUUUUAAGGUUGACCUCGGAUCAGGUAGGGAUACCCGCUGAACUUAAGCAUAUCAAUAAGCGGAGGA